AUCAAAGGAUGGAGGGCAACACGGCAGUGCGGCUGGAUCGAAAGAGACGUCGGAGACGCUUUGCUGAACAAAAAGUGUCUUUAUUACAAGCGAGUGUCAUUAAACAGGUCUGCAGUACCCGGAGAAGCCUAGGUGUGUAUGCUAAGUCAAGAGAGCGC
Long non-coding RNA from Entelurus aequoreus (snake pipefish), 158 nucleotides. RefSeq lists it as uncharacterized. The record is from RefSeq and is a predicted model, not a curated record. NCBI's taxonomy places the organism in Eukaryota, Metazoa, Chordata, Actinopteri, Syngnathiformes, Syngnathidae. The transcript has 3 exons.